RNAcentral lists this ribosomal RNA (351 nucleotides) under Triticum aestivum (bread wheat). RNAcentral's name for it is "partial small subunit ribosomal RNA". The record is from RNAcentral. Lineage: Eukaryota; Viridiplantae; Streptophyta; Magnoliopsida; Poales; Poaceae.
AUGACAAUUUCUUUAAGAACACACGGCAAAUUCUGGCAGAUAGAGGAUUUGUUGAAUUGCAUCCAGUCCCAAAUCCAGAAACAGGAAAAAAAAAUCUUCACAAGAAUAUUCUUGCGUUACAGUACUUUUGGCAGAACAAGUGGCUGGGAUCAAAUCCCGCCCAAACGGUUUUUCUCAUGUCGAUGCAGCGAGUUCAUGGACUCGAGAGUCCACCCGUUGUAUCGGUGGUACCACGCCUUGGGGGUGCUCAAGGAAGAAUCCGUUGACGACUUUGCCAUAGCACUCGGGAUCUCUUCCUUCAGGUCGGUCAGUAUCACCGAAAGGAAAGAGAAUUAUGCAACUAGUAGAUAA